AGCAGCCGCGGUAAUUCCAGCUCCAAUAGCGUAUAUUAAAGUUGUUGCAGUUAAAAAGCUCGUAGUUGAAUUUCGGGAUCAAUACGUCGGUCGUGCUUCGGUACGUACUGGUGUCAUUGAUUUCUCCCUUCUGACGAACCAUGAUGUCAUUAACUUGGUGUCAUGGGAAAUCAGGACUGUUACUUUGAAAAAUUAGAGUGUUUAAAGCAGGCUCACGCUUGAAUACAUUAGCAUGGAAUAAUGAAAUAGGACGUUCGAUCCUAUUUUGUUGGUUUCUAGGAUCAACGUAAUGAUUAAUAGGGAUAGUUGGGGGCAUUAGUAUUCAAUUGUCAGAGGUGAAAUUCUUGGAUUUAUUGAAGACUAACUACUGCGAAAGCAUUUGCCAAGGAUGUUUUCAUUAAUCAAGAACGAAAGUUAGGGGGUCGAAGACGAUCAGAUACCGUCGUAGUC
RNAcentral lists this ribosomal RNA (450 nucleotides) under uncultured Glomeromycotina. RNAcentral's name for it is "SSU rRNA". It matches the Rfam family "Eukaryotic small subunit ribosomal RNA", at positions 569 to 1025 of the family's 1831-position model. Lineage: Eukaryota; Fungi; Glomeromycota. The record is from RNAcentral.